RNA transcript from Eleginops maclovinus (Patagonian blennie), 2405 nucleotides. It is a transcript of the gene named CFAP20 domain containing, with no coding region annotated. The transcript is spliced from 17 exons. The record is from RefSeq and is a predicted model, not a curated record. Lineage: Eukaryota; Metazoa; Chordata; Actinopteri; Perciformes; Eleginopidae.
UUUGGCUGUCCUACAAAUGCGUCUUGCUUUUUUUACUUGCAAGUACUUAAAUAUGCCAAACGUUACUUUCCAGGGUACUUAAACAGAAAUGUAGUAAACUAUCCAUAUUUUCUAUCUCUUAAACGUUCAACCGUCGUCACGUAAAAUGUUCAGGAAUAAUUAUCAGGGUGGACCUGUGGUUGAGAUAUUCAGUGGACAAGGAAAAGACCCUGUAGCAAAAUGGAAACUUUGCGGAGGCCAGUCCUUCAUACAUAAGGAGUACAAUAAAGAAGUGAGAGGGUUUGUUUACUGUCUGGAGGGCAGCAGCCAGACAGUCAAGAUGCAAAUGCCAGAGAAUGGGAAAAUGUCUCUUGGACUUCUUCAAAGAUUCUUGGUCCUUCAAGUGAAUAUUGAACAGUGCAAGGAUUUUUCCAUUGAGCUUUUGAUAACUGAUUUAGAGCACCUGAAAAGAAGACUUUACUUGUCAACUGUACAUAAAGAGUUGUCCGUCACACAUUUGCAUGCAAAGAUACCUUUUGUAGGAUUGAAACGCAGUGUUUGGUCUACUUUGUGCAUCGACCUUGUAUCAUUCACCAGUGAACUGUUCAAGGGGUUUUUGACAUUGGAUGGCAUCACUUUGUUUGCAACCUGUAAAGUCCGCAGAAUCUUCACCAUGAAAGCAAUGCCUACCGAACUCUCAGGCGAUGGUAAUACGUUAAACCAAACAGAUAUGUUUCUCAGUGGAGCUGCUCACAUGGACUCGAUUCCUCGCAGCUGCCAGUUCCCUCCUGAUGUAAACCACAUCACCCAACUGUUGAACAUGGAACAUUUACGGGAGGCAGAUAUGAGGGCUGGACUGUUGAGCUCUGACUGUGUUCCUGGUCAGUCUACCUCAGCCAGAUCUACCGGUUAUCGAAGAUCCAGGCCUCAGGGUGUUUUACACACAGCCUCAGGCUCCAGGGUUUCAGGGCCACCCCCUCAAACUGGAAGAAAAAGCAGGGCAGCCUCAGAAGAAAUGGAUAAAAGUCUACUCUUUGUAUCAAAUGCGGCGUCCCCGUCUAGUAAAAAGAACCAAGAAGUUGCUGCAGAAAGAACGCUUGGCAGUUUACAGCCCCAUCCCCCGAAAGACAGAGUGUUUGACAAGCAGGGAUCUAAGCAGCUUCGGGUGUACAGUGCUGGAAGAGAGAGGCUAGCUUCGUCAGAUGCUCUACCUUGUGGCGACCGAAAGAGAAGUAAAACCAGGGAGAAAUGCAAUUCUACACCCAGUGGGCAAGAGAGCGAGCAACAACCAAUGACCCUAACAGAAACGACAGCGCACCUAUCAGCAGACGAGUGUAGCCUCAAGGAAAGUUCAGGAGCUGCCCCCACACCGGCAGAGUCUCUCCGCGGCUUUAUCGGUCCAGGUUUGUCUUGUGACCUGCAGGUCGGUAGCAGCUGGGAGAGUAAUGACGGGUCCGAGCCCCAGCUCACUCUGCAAGAAGAGGUGUUCACUUUCUCAUCCCAGCCACACUCACCCAAACGAGGGCAAAGCCAGGGUGAGCAGGAGAAGAUGGAGAUGGGAGAUGAUCCGGUUCAGAGCAAAAGUGGAAGGCGGUAUGAAGCCCAGCCUGAGGAUGACUUUAUCGGCAGUGAGAGUGAUGAGGAAAACAGCUUCAAGCUCAACCCUGCUACUCCCAGAUCUCCUAGUCCAACUUUGGAUGUGCAACUUGAAGUCCAUCCUGAAAAUCAAAACCUGGUCCAAACGGCACCAACAGAGCUCAGUUUGGCUUCCACCGGCAUGCAGUCUCCAUCCAGUGGGGGAGCGGAGGCAGCUGAGAUCGCCCCCUCACGCUGCCUCUCACCCAGUGUGACACCGAGAAGACAGGAACACAAGUGUGGCCCUCGUGGAUCGGAGAUACUGAACCAGUUUGUGGAUGUAAACAGCAGUGUUACACUUUCAAGAAGACUCCUACAUGAAGUCAGACUAGAUGACUCCACACAGCACAAGGUGAUCGGUUUAAAGGAAGAAGAAGCCAACACGACACACCCUAAUGACUCCGGUGUUUACAACUUACACCCUCUUAGCAGUCUACGAAGACAUGGGGAUGAUGACGACGAGCUUCGAAUGCUGGCAAGUCUAAAGAGAGAGCAGGAGGAAGAUGAAUGUAAAGCCUCGGGCCUCAGCGCAUCUCAGAUCCGUCAUUGUAAUGUCAGCAUUAGCAUGAGCAGUGACGACGCGUCUACCUGGACCCACAUCUCCAAGAUAGAGUACAGAAAUGGUUCAGCUACUGCUUUCCCAAAAGAUUCUUCCCAUCACCUGACAGCCGGUUAAUCAGGGCCACCACUAUCAGAAGGAAAUGAACCCUCUUCUUCAAUCAAACCCUAGGACAGGAUGAGUCGCUGAAUGAACAGGAAAAGGAGGACGAGUAUUUAAAUCUGCUUUAUGA